This 85-nucleotide transfer RNA is filed under the name Felis catus (domestic cat). It matches the Rfam family "tRNA". Rfam says of the family: Transfer RNA (tRNA) molecules are approximately 80 nucleotides in length. Their secondary structure includes four short double-helical elements and three loops (D, anti-codon, and T loops). The record is from Rfam by way of RNAcentral. Lineage: Eukaryota; Metazoa; Chordata; Mammalia; Carnivora; Felidae. RNAcentral also lists the same sequence under 3 other names.
GCCUGGGUGGCUCAGUCAGUUAAGCAUCUGACUUCAGCUCAGGUCAUAAUCUCAUGGUUCAUGGGUUCGAGCCCCACAUCAGGCU